AGAGUUUGAUCCUGGCUCAGGAUGAACGCUGGCGGCGUGCCUAACCCAUGUAAGUCGAGCGAUUCUUAGCAAUAAGAAGAGCGGCGGAAGGGUGAGUAACACGUAGGAGACCUACCUCAUCGCAGGGAACAACUUCGCGAAAGCGGAGCUAAUACCCAAGAAGCUCGUGCAUUCGGUUGUACGAGAAGAGUUUGUAAGAGCGUGAUGAGAGGGUCCUGCGGCCCAUCAGCUAGUUGGUAGGGUAGUGGCCUACCAAGGCAACGACGGGUAGGGGGUCUGAGAGGACGAUCCCCCACACUGGAACUGAAACACGGUCCAGACGCCUACGGGUGGCAGCAGGGAGGAAUAUUGGGCAAUGGACGAAAGUCUGACCCAGCAACGCCGGUAAGGAUGAAGGCCCUCGGGUUGUAAACUUCUUUU
This 420-nucleotide ribosomal RNA is filed under the name uncultured bacterium. RNAcentral's name for it is "bacterial SSU rRNA". It matches the Rfam family "Bacterial small subunit ribosomal RNA", at positions 8 to 437 of the family's 1533-position model. The record is from RNAcentral.